Molecule: ribosomal RNA, 498 nt
Filed under: uncultured bacterium
Lineage: Bacteria
Description: partial 16S ribosomal RNA
Rfam family: Bacterial small subunit ribosomal RNA
Source: RNAcentral
AUUGAACGCUGGCGGCAUGCCUUACACAUGCAAGUCGAACGGUAGAGGGGGCAACCCCUUGAGAGUGGCGAACGGGUGAGUAAUGCAUCGGAACGUGCCCAGUCGUGGGGGAUAGCCCGGGGAAACCCGGAUUAAUACCGCAUACGACCUGAGGGUGAAAGCGGGGGACCGGUACCGGCCUCGCGCGAUCGGAGCGGCCGAUGUCGGAUUAGCUAGUUGGUGGGGUAAAGGCCUACCAAGGCGACGAUCCGUAGCUGGCCUGAGAGGACGACCAGCCACACUGGGACUGAGACACGGCCCAGACUCCUACGGGAGGCAGCAGUGGGGAAUUUUGGACACUGGGGGCAACCCUGAUCCAGCCAUGCCGCGUGCGGGAAGAAGGCCUUCGGGUUGUAAACCGCUUUUGUCAGGGAAGAAAUCCUUUGGGCUAAUACCCUGGGGGGAUGACGGUACCUGAAGAAUAAGCACCGGCUAACUACGUGCCAGCCGCCGCCGUAA